AAACAUUGAUGUACAUAAGUUAAUCUUUAAAUUUAGAGAUUCUCUAUUUCUCGACACCAACAAAACAUUGAUAUAUGUUUCGUAAAUAUAUAACUCAGUUGAUAGGUGCAACGAUAUUUACAUGUGUGAAUUUAGCUAUUAGUCUACUUGAUAAAAAAAAUAGAUAGGUGUUUCAGAAUCAUCCCAAAAUUAAUUAAACUAACGUAUGAAAUGAUCCCAAAGCCUAAUGCAUCACAUAUUCAUAAGCCUAAUGUGCACUCGCGUCACUACGGAGUACACAUUUGUCCUCACUUCAUCACCCUCAGAUUGUCAUCAUAUGGUCACUCGCGAUUCUUGACGCCUAACAGUUCAGAGAACCCCUCAUUAAGGAACUCCUCUAUAAAAAUUCAUCAGCCUCUGGUGCAAGGAACAUAACUCAUUUUCAUCUAAAAAACCUCUUACUCCCUCAAAUUCUUAGGGACUUUGAGUGUCAUAGUAUUUAUAGGUACACUACACUAGGAGCUACACCGCCAUACUCUUUCGUUGCAAUUUGACUUCAGUCGUCAUUGACGUUCUACUUCGUAUCAUUGGCUCCAUCAGUUGGAAUUAUUCCCUAUUGUCUCAAACAAUAAAUCUUUGAUCACAUGAAAUAAACGACGCGACUCUCUCUCAUCUCUCCCUCUCAACCCUCUCUUGUAUUCCACGCGACACUUGUCUCUCCCUCAAUCCAUUUCUCCACGACCUCCACACGACGUCAAUUUCUCACUCAUACUCUCUCUUCUCGCAUCAAGCAUCUCUAUUGCGUCUGCCCAUCUCUCACCGCCUCUGAAUCUCGGACUAUCUCAAUAUGCUUCUUAUAUUUUUUUAUAGUCUUACUUAGUUACUCUUUUCCUCUUCUACUAUUUGUUAAUUGUAAUAGUUUUAGUUUAGGAUUGUGAACUAUUAAUAAUGUGUGAUUGUAUUUGUGACUUUGUGAAUUGUGAACGAUUUUAGUGUGGGAAUUGAAAUUGUGAACUUUAGUGUGUGAAUUGUGACUUUGUGAUUGUGAACUGUGAACUAUUUUUUUAUUAGUGUAGUGUGGAUGUGAGAUUGUGAAUUUGAAAAC
Molecule: long non-coding RNA, 1084 nt
Filed under: Cicer arietinum (chickpea)
Lineage: Eukaryota; Viridiplantae; Streptophyta; Magnoliopsida; Fabales; Fabaceae
Description: long non-coding RNA (CARI_LNC001490)
Source: RNAcentral